CAGUAGCCACGGGAAUACGAAGGGUGCAAGCGUUACUCGGAAUUACUGGGCGUAAAGCGCACGCAGGCGGUCUGACAAGUCAGAUGUGAAAUCCCCGGGCUUAACCUGGGAACUGCAUUUGAAACUGUCAGGCUGGAGUCUUGUAGAGGGGGGUAGAAUUCCAGGUGUAGCGGUGAAAUGCGUAGAGAUCUGGAGGAAUACCGGUGGCGAAGGCGGCCCCCUGGACAAAGACUGACGCUCAGGUGCGAAAGCGUGGGGAGCAAACAGGAUUAGAUACCCGCGUAGUCCCUGUCUCUUAUAC
RNAcentral lists this ribosomal RNA (301 nucleotides) under uncultured bacterium. Its description in RNAcentral is "partial 16S ribosomal RNA". It matches the Rfam family "Bacterial small subunit ribosomal RNA", at positions 509 to 807 of the family's 1533-position model. The record is from RNAcentral.